ACGUAGGGUGCAAGCGUUGUCCGGAAUUACUGGGUGUAAAGGGAGCGCAGGCGGGAAGACAAGUUGGAAGUGAAAACCAUGGGCUCAACCCAUGAAUUGCUUUCAAAACUGUUUUUCUUGAGUAGUGCAGAGGUAGAUGGAAUUCCCGGUGUAGCGGUGGAAUGCGUAGAUAUCGGGAAGAACACCAGUGGCGAAGGCGGUCUACUGGGCACCAACUGACGCUGAGGCUCGAAAGCAUGGGUAGCAAACAG
Molecule: ribosomal RNA, 251 nt
Filed under: uncultured bacterium
Lineage: Bacteria
Description: partial 16S ribosomal RNA
Rfam family: Bacterial small subunit ribosomal RNA
Source: RNAcentral